Molecule: long non-coding RNA, 572 nt
Organism: Scophthalmus maximus (turbot)
Lineage: Eukaryota; Metazoa; Chordata; Actinopteri; Pleuronectiformes; Scophthalmidae
Exons: 3
Source: RefSeq, a predicted model, not a curated record
CACAACCAAUCGGAAAGUUCAGUCCGAAGAAAGUGAUUGGAUGAACCAAAUGAAUCCUGCCUGAGCGCACUCCGCUCGUUCACUACACAGUCGGGCACGUGACCUGUCUCCUGCACGGCGUCGGCAAACAACCGGAGCUACCAGAGCUACGGAUAGCAGCCGAGUUGCUGCACUGGACUAAAGAAGAAAAGAGUUGCAGAACGGCAGAGAAAGUGCCUACAAUGGCUUCCGGUCGCAACAGACAGAGCAGUAGAGUAGACUACGGCACAAAGAGGUUGGAUACUACAGGAGGAGUGAACAGAGUAAACAUCGGUGUCACUCUUCACCGCUGGCUUCAACUCCGGGAGGAGAAGAGGGUGAAAGGUACAGCAAGUUGUACAUGAACAGCUAGAGAAACAAGUCAGCAGAGGACCAGGACCACUGCCUAAGAGUCGACGACAGCACAGCCUGACCCGUCAGCUGACAGACCUUCUUUGACACUAAAGAACUAGGAAACCCUGUGCAGACAGUUUCUUCCUUUUUUGUAUAUAUGGUGAUUAUGCUAAUAUUAUAAUAUAUAUAUAUUUGUUAUA